CAACUUUCAGCAAUGGAUCUCUUGGUUCUCGCAUCGAUGAAGAACGCAGUGAAAUGCGAUAACUGGUGUGAAUUGCAUCCAAGUAACUCUAAUUUACGAAUAACACCAAGUGAAUCAUCGAGUCUUUGAACGCAAUUGCGCCCUCUCGGUCGCUUCCA
RNAcentral lists this ribosomal RNA (158 nucleotides) under Craterellus fallax. RNAcentral's name for it is "5.8S ribosomal RNA". It matches the Rfam family "5.8S ribosomal RNA", at positions 1 to 130 of the family's 154-position model. From Rfam's summary of the family: 5.8S ribosomal RNA (5.8S rRNA) is a component of the large subunit of the eukaryotic ribosome. It is transcribed by RNA polymerase I as part of the 45S precursor that also contains 18S and 28S rRNA. Lineage: Eukaryota; Fungi; Basidiomycota; Agaricomycetes; Cantharellales; Hydnaceae. The record is from RNAcentral.